GUUAGAUGAUCUGUGUUUUUGGGGUUUUUCCCCUGGGAUUUGGUCUGCAAAUUAUCAGUACUAUUAAGGAACAUGUUUGGUUUUGCAAAUUGCAAGUUCUAGCAAUUGCCUUAUUAUUGGAAUUGCUAUUUUUGUGAUGUCAUUUAAGUCAGAUGAGGUUGCUGCCGUCAUGAAAGAUUUUGAUGAGCCUGGAUCCCUUGCCCCAACUGGUUUGCAUCUUGGUGGCACAAAGUACAUGGUGAUCCAGGGAGAGCCCGGAGC
RNAcentral lists this unclassified non-coding RNA (261 nucleotides) under Hevea brasiliensis (rubber tree). Lineage: Eukaryota; Viridiplantae; Streptophyta; Magnoliopsida; Malpighiales; Euphorbiaceae. The record is from RNAcentral.